UGGGGAAUAUUGGACAAUGGGGGAAACCCUGAUCCAGCAAUGCCGCGUGUGUGAAGAAGGCCUGAGGGUUGUAAAGCACUUUAGGUGGGGAGGAUGGUAGAGCAGGUUAAGAGCUAGUUUUAUUGACGUUACCCGCAGAAUAAGCACCGGCUAACUCCGUGCCAGCAGCCGCGGUAAUACGGAGGGUGCAAGCGUUAAUCGGAAUUACUGGGCGUAAAGAGUGCGUAGGCGGUUAGGUAAGUUAUCUGUGAAAUCCCUGGGCUUAACCUAGGUAGGAAAGAUAAAACUGCUUGACUAGAGUGUGGUAGAGGAUAGUGGAAUUUCCGGUGUAGCGGUGAAAUGCGUAGAGAUCGGAAGGAACACCAGUGGCGAAGGCGGCUAUCUGGACCAACACUGACGCUGAGGCACGAAAGCGUGGGGAGCAAACAGG
RNAcentral lists this ribosomal RNA (430 nucleotides) under uncultured bacterium. Its description in RNAcentral is "bacterial SSU rRNA". It matches the Rfam family "Bacterial small subunit ribosomal RNA", at positions 355 to 776 of the family's 1533-position model. The record is from RNAcentral.